GACGGAGGAUGCAAGUGUUAUCCGGAAUCACUGGGCGUAAAGCGUCUGUAGGUGGUUUAAUAAGUCAACUGUUAAAUCUUGAGGCUCAACCUCAAAAUCGCAGUCGAAACUAUUAGGCUAGAGUAUAGUAGGGGUAAAGGGAAUUUCCAGUGGAGCGGUGAAAUGCGUAGAGAUCGGGAGGAACACCAGUGGCGAAGGCGGCCGGCUGGGGGUGACCUGACGCUGAGGCGCGAAAGCGUGGGGAGCGAACCGG
RNAcentral lists this ribosomal RNA (253 nucleotides) under uncultured bacterium. Its description in RNAcentral is "partial 16S ribosomal RNA". It matches the Rfam family "Bacterial small subunit ribosomal RNA", at positions 524 to 776 of the family's 1533-position model. The record is from RNAcentral.